AGCUGGGCAUAGAUAACUAAAUCUGUUGCUGCUGUCAAGUUGGUAGGAAUGCCUUUCUGUUUCAAAAGCCUUUCACCAAUUGCACCUGUAAUCACAGAAGAAUCUCUCAGUAGAGCACCUCAGGCACGCAGGGAAUGGAGAACUGCACCCAGCAAGAAGCUCUGUCUGACCCUAUUUCUCCACAGUCCUGCUGCUGACAAAGCCUUCCCACACUUCUGUGAAAUGAUCUACCUGUGCUAUUAGAUUUCAUAUACAGAUUUUAUUUUUCUCUGAAGACUACAUUAAUUGGAAUGAACAUUGCUGUUUGCAUAAGGGAAGAAAAGGAAGAUGUCACCAUGCUGGAAAGCCUCAUCUGACUUUUCUUGGAAAAAGGCUUUGUAUUCUGUGAAAGGCACAGGAGCCUGCCGGACAAAAUGGAAAACUCCCCACAUUAGGAUAUUUCAAAAGCAAUGCUGCAAUGAUCAAUAAACGAGACAGCAGGGGCAGAAAAUGGACUGCAGGUCAGGAAAAAAAAGAAUGUGAAAGGAAGGCAAACAGGAAUAAAAAAAGGAACCUGGACUUUUGCUGGUUAAACCAAAUUUCAAACAUACACAUAACCUAUAGACACAUAAAAAUGUGUUUAUACAUCAGAAUGGAGAAUGUGAGUUCUGCUGUUUAUCUUGAAGAAGAACACCAGCAGCACUGUCCACUCUUCAGCACCAGCAGAUGUGGUCACCAUUAAUCAUUUGGCAGAAAAGAAGUACAGGAGGUAACCCUCACAGCCCACAGACACACACAAGUCUCUUGCCUUGAAAACAAUCAAAAAUCUGGUAAUGCUCAGAAAUACAAAACCAAUGGUCCUGGGAAAAAUAAAAUAAAUCACAGGUAUAUUUCACUUUAUUUAUUUGUUCUUCAUUUUGAUAGCACAUCUCAAAUUACACUUGGUAAUGAGAUCUUACAAAUCUUUCCCCUGCUCUGGGACAAAAAGCAAAAACCACUCAUGCAUAAGGUAUUGAAUGCAUUCACAACAAAUAUGUUGUAUGUUGGGCUUUUGAACAUCAUAAAUAUGAGAACAUUAAACCAACUGUCAUUGGUAUUUUUUAACAAUAUAAUUGUUAGGAUCAUAGCAGCUUAAAAGGUUUAACUCAUGUUUGCCUGCUUCCAAUAUUUUUAUUUUAAGUUUCUACUACAAUUUGGUAAGAGAUUAAAAAAUAUAGAGGCCCAAAUACUACAAAACAAUGCUUUAAAGUAUUUCUAUUUAGUUUGUAAGGGGUAAAACUCACAAUGGCCUUUCUGCUUUGACUGGGAACGCAGUUCUGAAAUUACUUAGAUGAAGGUUAUGAAAUUCAACUUAUUUGUGAUUUUUAUGCAUCAUGAAACCUCUUGAAAGAGGCCUGGGAUUCCAGAAAUGUUGAACACCCAUCCUUUAAGAGGUCCUCAGCCAAAGAGACAGAAUCUCCAUCUAUUCCUGCAAAUAUUAGCCAAAAUACUGGGGACUUACUAAUAUAGUUCUCAGGUCCAUGAAAGCAGGAUAAGAAUGAGUACAGAUUCUGUUAUGCAAGUUGAUUUUGCUAUUUUGCCUUUUUUUUUUUUUUUUUUUUAAAGCUGUCUUCUGAAUGCUUUGAUAGCCAUCAGGAACAAGAUAUUUUUGCAAUAGAGGGAUAGAGUCUAAUUGUAGAAGGGGAAGAAAUGCUGCCUACAAAAGCCAAGAUCAUGAUAAGAAAACAAAUUUACUGAACAUCAUCUCUGAAAAGACUCUACCAUGCACAGGUGAAAUAUUGCUACAAACACUUGCUCUGAUCCUACAUCAUGCCUUAAACUGCUUUG
Long non-coding RNA from Serinus canaria (Common canary), 1806 nucleotides. RefSeq lists it as uncharacterized. The transcript is spliced from 3 exons. The record is from RefSeq and is a predicted model, not a curated record. Lineage: Eukaryota; Metazoa; Chordata; Aves; Passeriformes; Fringillidae.